Molecule: long non-coding RNA, 497 nt
Organism: Lagopus leucura (white-tailed ptarmigan)
Lineage: Eukaryota; Metazoa; Chordata; Aves; Galliformes; Phasianidae
Exons: 3
Source: RefSeq, a predicted model, not a curated record
CCUCUGUGGAGUCUUUCGUGUGAGCUAAGAUCUUUGGAUGCAGAUUGCAUCAAGGAUGAUUCAGCUGCUGUAACUUCAGCAUGAACUCUCCUGAGGUUGGGAAGAAAGCAUGGCUGAUCUCCUUGGAUAUCUCUAAAAGUGUCAUUUUUAAAGCCAAAGGGGGAAAGAAAGCUGCAGUGAGUAGCAGAUGUGUGAAUAUCCCUUGGCAGGAAUAGCUGACAGCUGGCCAUCCCCAUGGCCCUGCUCAUGCUCCUCUCCCCAGCUCCUUUAAGGGCACCUUUGUCCCUUUCAGAGGGAACUUCCCUUAUGAGAGCACUGCAGGAUGCAUUAUCACAUAGGAGGACCCAAGUCACGGGUGAUGUGCUCUGGAAGCUGCUAGUAUUCAGGUCUAAGCAGAGAAAUGGGGUGAGAUGGGUUCGGAGCACACACCUGAGCUCCCUGGGGCAGCAGUGUGCUCUGGUGCCCCCUGGGCUCCUGCAGAGCUGCUCUGUCCCAUU